GUAAAAAAAAAAAAAAAAAACACUUGAGGUUUGGUGUACCAAGUUCCUCUCGUUUUCAAAUAUUUGCACAAUUAAUCAUUGAGUUUCAUGGAAGUCAGUGUUUGGUUAAAAUAGGCCAAAAUGAAUUUUCUUUUGCUUUGGUUAGACAAAAGAACAACAAAAAUGUUGAAAAUAAUUUCUUAUUUUAAUUGCAAUUUUCUUUUCUCAUGUGAAGUGAAAUUCAUAUACUUGUCAAGCAUAUUUU
RNAcentral lists this unclassified non-coding RNA (244 nucleotides) under Hevea brasiliensis (rubber tree). The record is from RNAcentral. Lineage: Eukaryota; Viridiplantae; Streptophyta; Magnoliopsida; Malpighiales; Euphorbiaceae.